This is an RNA transcript of Octopus sinensis (East Asian common octopus), 3669 nucleotides long. It is a transcript of the gene named putative protein TPRXL, with no coding region annotated. Lineage: Eukaryota; Metazoa; Mollusca; Cephalopoda; Octopoda; Octopodidae. The record is from RefSeq and is a predicted model, not a curated record. The transcript is spliced from 4 exons.
AUAAUACCGUACAGAAAUCAAUAACAAAUAAUUAAAAUAAACAGAAAAGGGUCGAGACGAGUGUUCCUUUAGUUCCAUCCUGUUGCUGGUAGCCACCUAGUGACGAGAAAAAGCAACAAGUCAUCACAUCGACAAGAGAACACGCCCCCAAUCAACAAUAAUAAAACAAAAACAACAAUAAUUUGACCUCUAAAAACCCCAACAGAUGCGGGUUUGCAAAACUGGCGAAAGAGCUCAAUCAUCAUAUUAGAUAUAGAUCGACAAGUCUCGACAGCCUUCUUGAAAUCAAAACCGAAAUGGAAUUUACUAUAUUCAAACCAUUCAUGAUAUCAAACGAUCUAGAACAAGCUACACGGCUCGAUAAAAAUAAAAUCAUAAUAAUUAAUCAACCUCAAGACAAUUCGGAGCAGAUUAAUACUUCUGUAAGAGAUAAUUACCAAAGAAUUUAAAAUAACAACCAUAAGAUUCAACGUCUUGAAAGUGAUAUGUAGUACGGCUGUUGAUCAACUUAAAUUUCAUCAUGUAAAUCAGAACUAAAAUCAACUCAGAUAACAAAUUCAUUAAAUAUAAUGGUGAUAGUGUAAAAUUUGAGCCUGACACAACAUAAUUUCACCGACAUCAUUUGUAUAUAAAAUGUGGUUUAUAUUAAACAGUUACGCAAAAAUAGUUCUGAUAUUUUUUUUUUAAUAGAUCAUUGAUAAAUUAUUAAAUCGUGUUCUAAAUAGCAGCUGGUGUUUUAUAUAUAUAUGACACACGCACAUACGCAGCUCUUUUAGUUAAAGUCAUGAGGCAGAAAGAGUAUAUUAAUUAGAAACACUAACAUAUUUAAUGUGGGUGUAGCGAAGUUGAAUCACCCACUUGUGAAGGAGUGUUUUUCUUAAGAAUUUCUAUAGAACAAAUUAUUCUUCAACAGCACAAAAAUCUAUAGAAUCCAAUGAAAAGUUGUGAAACGAAAACAGUAAAUAAUGAUAUUUAUGUAAAAGUCGCCGAACGAUGCCAGAGUAAGAAGACAACGAAAAGGUAAACCGUCAAAAGAAUAUAUAAAUAUGUGUGUAUAUAUAUAAGAGAAAAACAUCACGCCAUAAAGCAUGAGUAAUAGAUAAGGUAGCAGUGCUAGGAGAUUUAACGUGCGUGGUGGCAUAUAGGGGGGCGUAUCUCAUACACAAUCCUCAUUAAGCUAUUAAUAAUUAAUAUUCGAUUUAAAUAGAUCUCUCAUUGAAGCAGUUUUUAUUUAAACAUCACAUUGCAAUAAAAAUAUGCAGAAAUAAAAGACGUGUGCGAUGAAUGUCAAAUAAAAAUCGUUUACCGAGACUUACAAAGUGGUCGAGAAAAGAGGGUCCUACUUAAAUUAGGCAAUAAACAGCUGGCUAAUCCCUCACUUAUAGACCAUCUAGCAUCAUAUUAGGAUAAUUUGUUCAACAUCACUUGAUCACAACAAAAUUAAAACCUAAUAACCUUACACUACUGGUGUGAUUAUUUAACCAUGCUACAAGUUGCAGUAUACUACGAAGUAAUUUCUUAGGAAAAUAUGAUUUCACGGCUGAGAUCAGAAACAUCGCCUCAGGGUCCCAGCAGACAAAAAGGAAAAGACGUUGCCCGGAGGAUGGCGAGGGAGAUUCACUGCAACAGCCACUCUGACUCACGGGACUCGCACUUUUAUCGUUCAAAUAUGAAAUGGAGAAAAGAUGGUGAAAAACAGAAUUCAUAGAGUCAAAUAAAAUGACCUGAUGAAACAAGUAUCAGCAACAUACUGAAAUUCGAUUCACCAGAGUAUGCUCCUCCUCUGUUAGAUGCGUCGCUGUAAGAAACCAGCAUUACUUACUUGAGAUGAGGGAUCUUUUCGGUUUGAACGGCAGUUUUUAACAUAAUUUCUAGAAAAAUGUGAUCUAAGGAAGAUUUAACCGCUAUUUCUUGCAAGAGAGAUUAUGUUAAAGCCCUCGUUGAAUUCUGAAUCUUAAGUUUUAGGAGCAUGAGAAAAAGUUCAACAACCUGGAGAUCCUUUAGUGAAUAAAUUGUAAACAUGUCAAUGACUUUUAAUUCAAUUUCGUGCUUGCCACUGAUUGUUUUUACACCAGCCGUCAUUAAUGUAUGUAACUCUUUACUGAUGGACCAGCAAGGAAACAAAUACAGUUGAAUGGCGAAAGAAUGAUUUCGAGAACUUUAAAAUUGUUAAUUCGAUUAUGAAAUCAAAAUGAAACAAAACGAAUUGUUUUGAGUAAAUAAAGAGGCAAUGAAUAAUAACAGAGGUCAGCUUAGGUUUUCUUUCUACUGCGGGUGUCGAUAAAAUAAAGUAUCUGUUAAAUAAUGUGUCAAUUAAAUUGAUCAUACAUCAAUAUAAACAAAUGACGGUUUUGAAUAAUUGUUAGAAAUCAGCACGCACACUAUUCUGUUUGUCAUUCGGUUCAUAAGUUCGAGUGUUACGUUUUAAACAAGCUUAACUAUGAAACUAAAUUAAAACACAAAGCAGCACGUUCAAGCGUUGCUAUUUUAACAAUGGACUGAAAUCAAGGACGUAAUCGUAAUUUUUAACAUAAUGAAACAAUGCUAUUAAGAUCUAUAAGUAUAUGCAUUAAAAAAGAAAUAAGAAAAAGUUUAAAACGUUGAACUUCCAUCUGUCCCACGUGUUAAUUAUUAUUAGACAAUGAAUUAGAAUUGUUAGAGUAUCUGAUAAAAAAGCUUCGCUGUUUUUAGAUACGGUCUUUUUCCGUUUUGGGUUUUAAUUCCACCGAGGUCAAUGUGUCUUUCAUCUUUGCGGUUCGAGAAAAAGAAAAUACCAGUUAAGUCUGAAAUACGGUGAACCAGAGAAGCUUUAACCAGUGACGUUAUUGUCUACAAACUGCGAUAUAAACUAAGUGUUAGGAUAAAUAUAAUCGACUAUAUUCUCCAACUUCUCCAAAAUCAAUUAUGUCCUUGUGUUAUUGCGAGAAAUCAUUAUUUGCUGACUGAAAUGUCUUGGAUUAUAAGCGAAAGGCAAAUUGAAAGCAACUGAGUGAGAGACAGUGGCAGACAGUGGAUGCUUGGAUCUGAGGGAGGCCUGCGUUGUCCAACGUCGGAAAAUCGAUUAUUGUGGUCACAAGUGCAGAUGGUCGUAAGUCGAGGAGUGGGUAUAUUAAUCUGCUUCUCUAUGAGUAACACUGUCGUUUAUACACUUGAAGUUUGAAAAACAGGUGAAGAACAAUCAAAUUAAGAAAAUGCACGUCUUAAAAAUUGAUCCUUACAAACACACAACUGACAAAAUGCACACUCACACACAUAUAUAUGUAUAUGUACGCACACACACUCCCACACACACACAUUUUUACGUACAUACACAUAACAUUGUUCGGCGUGGCAUGGCACAGAAUCAGUGCGUUGAACAAAAGUAUUUUAUAUUUAGUUCACUGUUACCUUAACGCUCAGUCGUCGCUGCAUUUUUAUCUCGAUAAGAAGGAAAAACGUUCUCUGAUCGAUAUAACCUUGCAGCCGUCCAAUAACUGGAAGCAAUAUAAGAAUAAAAGAAAUUUAAAUCUGAAACCAUUAUAAUCUUCAUAUCUGAGAUAUGGAAUCUGCGCAUGGCUCAGUGGUUAGAGCAUCGGGUUCACAAUCAUGAGAUAGUGAGUUCCAUUCCUGGACCGAACUGUGUGUUGUGUUCUUGAGCAAGACACUUUAUUUUACAUCACUCCAGUUCAU